GAUGAACGCUGGCGGCGUGCCUAAUACAUGCAAGUCGAGCGAACGGACGAGAAGCUUGCUUCUCUGAUGUUAGCGGCGGACGGGUGAGUAACACGUGGAUAACCUACCUAUAAGACUGGUAUAACUUCGGGACACCGGAGCUAAUACCGGAUAAGAUUUUGAACCGCAUGGUUCAAAAGUGAAAGACGGUCUUGCGGGCUCUUAUAGAUGGAUCCGGGCUGCGUUAGCUAGUUGGUAAGGUAACGGCUUACUAAGGCAACGAUGCAUAGCCGACCUGAGAGGGGGAUAGGCGACACUGGAACUGAGACACGGACAAGGGGACUAAGGGAGGGAGCAGACGGGUACGGUCCGCAAUGGGGGAAAGCCUGACGGAGUAACGCCGAGUGAGAGAUGGAGGUCUUCGGAUCGUAAUACUCUGUUAUGAGGGAAGAACAUAUGUGUACGUAACUGUGGACAGCUUGACGGUAACUAAUAAGAAAGCCACGGCUAACUACGUG
RNAcentral lists this ribosomal RNA (497 nucleotides) under uncultured bacterium. Its description in RNAcentral is "partial 16S ribosomal RNA". It matches the Rfam family "Bacterial small subunit ribosomal RNA", at positions 28 to 507 of the family's 1533-position model. The record is from RNAcentral.